UGAGCAAUCUGCCCUUCUCAUCGGAAUAAGCGUUGGAAACGACGUCUAAUGCCGAAUACGACCUCCUUUCGCAUGAUCGGAGGUGGAAAGCUCCGGCGGAGAAGGAUGAGCUCGCGGCCUAUCAGCUAGUUGGUGUGGGUAAUGGCCCACCAAGGCGACGACGGGUAGCCGGCCUGAGAGGGUGAUCGGCCACACUGGGACUGAGACACGGCCCAGACUCCGUAGGAGG
RNAcentral lists this ribosomal RNA (229 nucleotides) under uncultured bacterium. RNAcentral's name for it is "partial 16S ribosomal RNA". It matches the Rfam family "Bacterial small subunit ribosomal RNA", at positions 118 to 348 of the family's 1533-position model. The record is from RNAcentral.